UCCUCCCAGAAGAGCUGGAAAAACCGACA
RNAcentral lists this non-coding RNA (29 nucleotides) under Mus musculus (house mouse). Lineage: Eukaryota; Metazoa; Chordata; Mammalia; Rodentia; Muridae. The record is from RNAcentral.